UAAUCAAUCUUUUUGAGUACACAAUUCACCCCCCCUCUUGUGUUGUUUAAAGUCACUUGUUCAACAAGACUCAUAAACUCUUCCGAGUCUACGAGUUGACUCGUGAGUUAGCAACUAUGCCUUUAUAGUCUAGAAACCAAUUAGACUUCACCCUACGUUGCUUAUAAACAUUUUAUCUUUCUCUAUUUUACCCAAUGUGGAAUGUUUUUCUCAACAGAACUUUAAUCAUUUUAGACAGUAGCAGAGAGAUUAAAAGUUCAAUUAAGCCAAAGUAGAACAGAAAACACAAUUCUUUGCAGCAUGAGUAUAGGCUUAUUUGUUUAAGAUUGAAAUAAAAGUAAAUAUCAGAUAUAAUAAUUUAGAGAUUUUUAUGUGAAGCACAGGUCGAUUUAUGUUUUUUAUAAAGAUAAAAAUCAAGUUUUUCUCUAAAGUUUCUAAAAACAACUUCUCAUUUUAAUCAUAUAAGUUAUUUUUUUAGAUUCUAAUUAAUUUAAAAAGCAUAAACAGACAACAUCAACACCACUAAAAAUGAUUUUUCACUUAAAAAGCAUGUUUUUUUUCUCUCAAAU
Molecule: long non-coding RNA, 569 nt
Filed under: Trifolium pratense (red clover)
Lineage: Eukaryota; Viridiplantae; Streptophyta; Magnoliopsida; Fabales; Fabaceae
Description: long non-coding RNA (TPRA_LNC009335)
Source: RNAcentral